CCUACGGGAGGCAGCAGUGAGGAAUAUUGGUCAAUGGUCGGGAGACUGAACCAGCCAAGCCGCGUGAGGGAGGAAGGUACAGAGUAUCGUAAACCUCUUUUGUCAGGGAACAAAGGCGGGGACGUGUCCCCGGAUGAGUGUACCUGAAGAAAAAGCAUCGGCUAACUCCGUGCCAGCAGCCGCGGUAAUACGGAGGAUGCGAGCGUUAUCCGGAUUUAUUGGGUUUAAAGGGUGCGCAGGCGGUCUGUUAAGUCAGCGGUCAAACCCCGGGGCUCAACCCCGGCCCGCCGUUGAAACUGGCAGUCUCGAGUUGGAGAGAAGUAUGCGGAAUGCGCGGUGUAGCGGUGAAAUGCAUAGAUAGCGCGCAGAACUCCGAUUGCGAAGGCAGCAUGCCGGCUCCACACUGACGCUGAGGCACGAAAGCGUGGGUAUCGAACAGGAUUAGAUACCCCUGUAGUC
Molecule: ribosomal RNA, 459 nt
Filed under: uncultured bacterium
Lineage: Bacteria
Description: partial 16S ribosomal RNA
Rfam family: Bacterial small subunit ribosomal RNA
Source: RNAcentral